CUUGGUUUGAGCUCAAAUAAAUGCGGGGAUGCCUCGGCUCGGAGCAGUCGGCCUCCUCCCUCCGCGAGCUGGACGCUCCGCAGCCCGCCCGCCAGCCGGCCCGCCGGCCGCCGCAGGAAUCCCUGGAUAAAGACCAGCUCAACCAUCGCUGAGAAAACAGACCUAGGCUUCCCAGGGCGGUUAACCCGCCGGCCUCUGGGCAGAGACUAAAAGACAAAACAAAAUAAAACAACAACAAAAAACUCCCAGUGUGUUUCCUACUCUUCUUUGUCUUGGAGGAAAGCAAAGGGAGAGAAAUGGACUUCACCAGUGGUCUUUGGCUUCAUCAAUUCACAGGAAAUGGCAUCAAGAUGGUUCAACUAAGACAUGAUCACUAAAAACAUUAUAAUAAUACCUUUUUGAAAAACUCAGUUUCUCCUGUUUACUAAAUAUUUAUUUCAUCAACAUGGGCUGCGUUCCACUGUGUCAGGAUUCUGCAUGUGGGUGGAGCACUGUUCCAGCCUGAGAAGAUGGUUCUGAGGCCACUUAGCAAGACAUUUUCCAGCAUGAGCAGGUUUCUCUGUGGAAAUAGUGACACCUGUUCUGGUGUGUUGUCUUUCCUCAGGGAACUUAAGGGGUACAAAGCUCCUGAAAAUGUUCUUUAUGCUGGUUGAAGCUCUUAUGUCGCUGUACUGAUUCCCUACGAUGCAGAUUUGAAUCACAGAGUAAUUAAAAUAUGGAUCAAAUAAGGCUGGGGCUCACCAAGGCUGAAAGCUGUAGCCAUUCAAGGCAUCAUUUCUGUCAUGAAAAUAUAGGACCUUUUCAAAACAUGCCUUCAGGAAGGUGUUCUCUUUUCAAACAAAAGUCUAAUGACUGCAUAACUCUUCUUGACCACAUCUUACACUUUCUCUAGACUUGCUUAUUUACAGCUACUGGAACAAAAAGAUGAAAUGAAUAAAGCACACUGAUUGUCCUAAGAGUCUUCUGUGACUAAAAGCACAUGAGCUUCUCCCCAGGCUGAGCUUUGACCCUCCCAAGCAUUUCCCCAAAGGCCAUGACACUGCAUCAGAUUGCUCCUGGACACUUUCCUCAGAGUUUUCAACAAAUAUAAACUGAGGAGUGGAGCACAGCACCAGAUUUGCUAAUCAAGAGGCAAUGGUCCCAGUCCAAAUGGGUGCUGUGUGUGAAUACAGAGCCCAGGAGAAGGGAAGGAGGUCUGUGAACAUCAGGAAUUGCAAAAUCUUGCUGAACCAAUAGACCAACAGCCAUUAACAUUUGUCAAUGCAAAGAUCCUAAAAUAUACAAGUGUGGAGUUGUCCUGCCCUAAGAGCUGAAGCUGUGACAAUCACGCUGCCAUGAAUCCUAAUGAAUAGAGGUUGCUGGACUCAGGGUAAAAGCAGGAUGAACUGGAGAUGGGACAUACAAGGUACUUUUGGAAUUGCCAUAGAUUACACCUAUAAUCAGAGUAAAUGUCAUCAACAAAUAAUCAAAAUAUUUUUUACAUUUGCUCUUCUAAAAUCAGAGCCUAUUUUAAAUAUAAAAGAAAGUAGAUGUGAUAAUAAUAUAAACUACAGUCACAUUAAGUUGAUAUUAAAUUCAAAAUCUAACAUAGAUUUGCACUGUUGGGUGUGUGUUCCGAAUCAGUGGGUUUUCCCACUGAUGUUGAUUUCGGGAGCCAGGCUUCAAUGUUUAAUUCUAUUGUAAUGUGGUUAUUUAGCCUGAAUGGUUUUAUAAGGUGGAAAGGCAAAAAAUUUAAUUCCGAAGAAAACUAGUGUUUUACUAUGACUGUGGUAAACAUUUCCAAAGCCCACCUGUGGGAAAUACAAAGUUUUAAUGCUGUGUGUUUUUUUGUUUUUGUAUUUUGUCUCAUCGACAAAACUGGCAGAAAAAAACGCUUUCGUAUAUUUUUCCUGCUGGGUGGUCAGAAGGAAAGGCCGUGAAGCUAAAGGUCUCCCACUGAGACGCUGUUCUGCAAGGAGCCGACCUCACGUGCCGCCGCCGCCAGAGAAGAGAGCACCUGUUCAUCUCGGCUCACUGUGAGGCUGAGCUCAGCGCUGGCAGGCGAGGGGCCGCAAGCAUCCCCCACAGCCACCGAGAGGGCAUCCCUGCAGGGAAAUCAUAUCCGACAUGCCUGUGCCCACAGCAGACUUAAGACUGCCUCUAAAAUGUCCAUGAAGCCAUUGUCCAGUAGAGCUGUUAGUUUUAACACCAGUGAGUAUUACCUUUGGUUAAAAGGAUGCAUGUGUAUAGGUGUAUGUGUGUGCGUGUGUGUUUGUGUUUUUGGACUUGUGUGGAGAAUGAAGAAAGGGUUCCAUUUAGGCAUUUGCAAAUAUUCGAUGGCAUCAUGAAAAGACAAAAAAAUCCUAUAAAAUAUAUCAUAUUUUGCUAUGAUUUUGUGUGUACAUGUAAUAAAAUUAUUAAGUAUAAA
This 2407-nucleotide long non-coding RNA is filed under the name Homo sapiens (human). RNAcentral describes it as "HSALNT0400051". The record is from RNAcentral. Lineage: Eukaryota; Metazoa; Chordata; Mammalia; Primates; Hominidae.